UUCUGCGGGGGGUGGCAUAGAUGGUAUGAUCCCCUUUGUGUAAAAAAUAAGGCACCUAGUUGCUCACACAUGCUGUUUCCUGUCCCCUCAAGGUGUGGCUCUCCACAAACUACCGGGGUCUCACCCUAAGUACUUAUGGGUGAUGAUUUAAGUGUACUUCAGCAUAGCCCAGUGUGUGUACUGAGCCGGGCGAUGUGACGGGGUUUGCUGUGCCACUUGCUCUGCUUGUGGGUGUGUCCGGACUUCCCCCUACUGAAGGUUAAACUGUGCUGCUUCUUUUACU
RNAcentral lists this long non-coding RNA (283 nucleotides) under Bos taurus (domestic cattle). RNAcentral describes it as "long non-coding RNA NONBTAT009445". Lineage: Eukaryota; Metazoa; Chordata; Mammalia; Artiodactyla; Bovidae. The record is from RNAcentral.